Medicago truncatula (barrel medic) is the source of this 783-nucleotide long non-coding RNA. RefSeq lists it as uncharacterized. The transcript is spliced from 3 exons. The record is from RefSeq and is a predicted model, not a curated record. Lineage: Eukaryota; Viridiplantae; Streptophyta; Magnoliopsida; Fabales; Fabaceae.
AAUACAGUGUUGCAUAUCCAUCUCAUUGCGAACCAUGGCUCUGACCUAACCCUCCUCUCUCUCCAUCUCUCUGUGAUUCCCCAUCUCCACCCCCUUUCUCUCGCACCCAUUCUCCCCAUCGCACACCGUCCACUCCCCCUUUCUCUGUAAAUCGUGAUUCUUCCACUUCUUCCUCUCGGGUUCUGCUUCUACAUCUAUAUCCAUUUCCAAAUUUGCCCAAAUACGCCCAUAUCCGUGUUCAAUAAAACGGAAAAACACGGUUGAAUGAUUAUUCUAUACAAGUGCAUCCAGGUAAUUGUAUUAGCAAGAUUGAAUUCAUUGUUUAUGGUGUAUCUCGCUCCGACUUCGAAGCUUCUGUCACCGCUGAAGUGGAUUGGUCUGCUAUUACUACGGGUGGCGAUGAAAGGACGUUGGAGUUUGCUAGACUUAAAAUUUUUACGUUUGGCAUUGAGUAGAAUCAAAAACAGUGGUUGUUGAGAAGAAGACUGACUGGCCGUGUUUUACUCAUGGAUGGCGUGAAAGAAGACCAUGUUGAGGUCUGUUGACGGUGUUGAGCCAACCACAAUUGAAGAUGAGGUUGCGCAAGGAUCAUCUAACAAACCUACCAAAUUGAAGUCCGUUAAAGUGCAGAAGAUUUAACCAGAUUUAUGUCAUACAUGAUGUUGUGCUUUGUCGACGUAGCUUUGAAAUGUUUUUAUUCCUGACCGUGUGCCCUUGAUAUAUAUGUAAUGCCUGUUGCAGUAAUUUUGAACUUUUUUCCUUUUUUUUUUUGGGUGUUGUACU